This 207-nucleotide ribosomal RNA is filed under the name uncultured bacterium. RNAcentral describes it as "partial 16S ribosomal RNA". It matches the Rfam family "Bacterial small subunit ribosomal RNA", at positions 568 to 774 of the family's 1533-position model. The record is from RNAcentral.
UGCGUAGGCGGUUGCCUAAGUCAGAUGUGAAAAGCUAUGGCUUAACCAUGGUCGUGCAUUUGAAACUGGGUAACUGGAGUGCAGGAGAGGAAAGCGGAAUUCCUAGUGUAGCGGUGAAAUGCAUAGAUAUUAGGAGGAACACCAGUGGCGAAGGCGGCUUUCUGGACUGUAACUGACGCUGAGGCACGAAAGCGUGGGGAGCAAACA